Molecule: small nuclear RNA, 107 nt
Organism: Fukomys damarensis (Damara mole-rat)
Lineage: Eukaryota; Metazoa; Chordata; Mammalia; Rodentia; Bathyergidae
Source: Ensembl
GUGCUUGCUUUGGCAACUCAUAUACUACAAUUGGAACAAUACAGAGAAGAUUAGUGUUGCCCCUGUGCAAGGAUGAUGCUCAAAUUCAUGAAGUGUAACAUAUUUUU